This 180-nucleotide ribosomal RNA is filed under the name uncultured fungus. RNAcentral's name for it is "partial 28S ribosomal RNA". Lineage: Eukaryota; Fungi. The record is from RNAcentral.
CACUCCUUUAUCUCAGGCCAGCAUCAGUUUGAGAGGUUGGAUAAAGUCAUUGGGAACGUAUCUCCUCGGAGUGUUAUAGCCCUUUGCACAAUACAACCAUCUCGGACUGAGGACAGCGUUCGCUAGGAUGCUGGCGUAAUGGAAGUCAACGACCCGUCUUGAAACACGGACCAAGGAGUC